CAGGCCUAACACAUGCAAGUCGAACGGUGAUGCGGAGCUUGCUCCGCGGAUCAGUGGCGAACGGGUGAGUAACACGUGAGCAACCUGCCCUUGACUUUGGGAUACCAGUUGGAAACAGCUGCUAAUACCGGAUAUGACCUUGUUUUGCAUGAUUCGAGGUGGAAAGCUCCGGCGGUCAGGGAUGGGCUCGCGGCCUAUCAGCUUGUUGGUGAGGUAAUGGCUCACCAAGGCUUCGACGGUGAGCCGGCCUGAGAGGGCGACCGGCCACACUGGGACUGAGAUACGGCCCAGACGCCUACGGGAGGCAGCAGUGGGGAAGAUUGCACAAUGGGCGCAAGCCUGAUGCAGCAACGCCGCGUGCGGGAUGACGGCCUUCGGGUUUAAACCGCUUUCAGGAGGGACGAAGCGCAAGUGACGGGACCGACAGAAGAAGGACCGGCUAACGACGUGCCAGCAGCCGCGG
RNAcentral lists this ribosomal RNA (463 nucleotides) under uncultured bacterium. RNAcentral describes it as "bacterial SSU rRNA". It matches the Rfam family "Bacterial small subunit ribosomal RNA", at positions 43 to 520 of the family's 1533-position model. The record is from RNAcentral.